This 374-nucleotide ribosomal RNA is filed under the name Arcania cornuta. RNAcentral describes it as "partial large subunit ribosomal RNA". The stretch from base 262 to 374 matches the Rfam family "Bacterial large subunit ribosomal RNA", at positions 2473 to 2586 of the family's 2925-position model. Lineage: Eukaryota; Metazoa; Arthropoda; Malacostraca; Decapoda; Leucosiidae. The record is from RNAcentral.
GACAAAACAAAAACUGUCUUUGUUGUAAAAGUGUAAUUUAACUUUUAAGUGAAAAGGCUUAAAUAAUUCAAUGGGACGAUAAGACCCUAUAAGCUUUAUAUUUUCUUUAUAGCUGUUAUAAAAAUUGAAUUAAAUAUUUUGCAUAAAAAAUAUUUGGCUGGGGCGGCAUGUUUAAAAAUUUUGUUAACUAUUCUUAUUUUAACCACGUGUAUGUGAAAAUAGUAGAUCCUUCAUAAUGAUUAAAAGGUAAGUUACUUUAGGGAUAACAGCGUUAUUUUUUUUGAGAGUUCAUAUCGAAAAAAAAGAUUGCGACCUCGAUGUUGAAUUAAAAAUUCUGUAUAGUGCAGUAGCUUUACAAGAAGGUCUGUUCGACC